UUUUAUUGUGGUUUUCCAUAAAUUUUUAAUUUUCUCUAGAUUUAAGUGUGGUAACCAAUAAAAGAUUAAAUUUUUACUACGCAUAAACAUUGCGAUAACUUAAGCUUUUUUUCAAAAAAAAAAAAAACAUUGCGAUAACUUAUCUUACCAAUCUGAAGUGGUUAAGCCCACUAAAAUAAUUACAGCCAAUGCGAGGGUUUACCAACCUAAAUGAGGCCAUGUACCCAAAAACAUCAGGAGAUUAUUUUGUUAGGUUUAGGUAGAUGACG
RNAcentral lists this long non-coding RNA (269 nucleotides) under Brassica rapa (field mustard). RNAcentral describes it as "long non-coding RNA (BRAP_LNC005747)". The record is from RNAcentral. Lineage: Eukaryota; Viridiplantae; Streptophyta; Magnoliopsida; Brassicales; Brassicaceae.